UACGGAGGGUGCAAGCGUUAAUCGGAAUUACUGGGCGUAAAGGGUGCGUAGGUGGUUUGUUAAGUUAUCUGUGAAAUCCCUGGGCUCAACCUGGGCAGGUCAGAUAAUACUGAUAGACUCGAGUAUAGGAGAGGGUAGUGGAAUUUCCGGUGUAGCGGUGAAAUGCGUAGAGAUCGGAAGGAACACCAGUGGCGAAGGCGGCUACCUGGCCUAAUACUGACACUGAGGCACGAAAGCGUGGGGAGCAAACAGGAUUAGAUACCCUGGUAGUCCACGCUGUAAACGAUGUCAACUAGCUGUUGGAUACGUAAAUGUAUUUAGUGGCGCAGCAAACGCGAUAAGUUGACCGCCUGGGGAGUACGGUCGCAAGAUUAAA
RNAcentral lists this ribosomal RNA (376 nucleotides) under uncultured bacterium. Its description in RNAcentral is "bacterial SSU rRNA". It matches the Rfam family "Bacterial small subunit ribosomal RNA", at positions 524 to 898 of the family's 1533-position model. The record is from RNAcentral.